UACGAAGGGUGCAAGCGUUACUCGGAAUUACUGGGCGUAAAGAGCUCGUAGGCGGUUCGUCGCGUCGGCUGUGAAAUCCCGAGGCUCAACCUCGGGUCUGCAGUCGAUACGGGCGGACUGGAGUUCGGCGAGGGGAGACUGGAAUUCCGUGGUGUAGCGGUAGAAAUGCGCAGAUAUUAGGAAGAACACCAGUGGCGAAGGCGGCUUACUGGUCCGGAACUGACGCUGAGGUGCGAAAGCGUGGGGAGCAAACAGG
This 256-nucleotide ribosomal RNA is filed under the name uncultured bacterium. Its description in RNAcentral is "partial 16S ribosomal RNA". It matches the Rfam family "Bacterial small subunit ribosomal RNA", at positions 524 to 776 of the family's 1533-position model. The record is from RNAcentral.